This is a long non-coding RNA of Apis dorsata (giant honeybee), 276 nucleotides long. RefSeq lists it as uncharacterized. The record is from RefSeq and is a predicted model, not a curated record. NCBI's taxonomy places the organism in Eukaryota, Metazoa, Arthropoda, Insecta, Hymenoptera, Apidae. The transcript is spliced from 2 exons.
AAAUCUAUAUUAAGUUUAAUUUAAGAUUUCAUCGAUGAACAUCGAUAAACAACGUUGGACGACGUUGGACCACGUUGGAUAAUCAACAUAGGACAUAGAUUUUUCUUUAUUAUAAUUUAUUAUAUUCGAUGUAANAAUAAGAUGCGUGCGUUUUAGAUUUAAGUCCUAGUUUUAAGUAUAUAUUUUAAGUAUAAGAUAGAUUUAAGAUUUAGUAUUAAGAUUUAGAUUUUAAUAUUUUUAUUGUAAUUGUAUUUGUAUUCGAUGUAAAUGAUAAGA